GUGUCCCCUAGAGUUCUCCUGAACACUUCAAUAGGGAUUUGAAAAGGAAAGAAGAAAAUACAAGCCAAGUUCCUAGUGAAGUGUUUGGGGGAACUCCGGGUGCCAU
Molecule: non-coding RNA, 106 nt
Organism: Eucalyptus grandis
Lineage: Eukaryota; Viridiplantae; Streptophyta; Magnoliopsida; Myrtales; Myrtaceae
Source: Rfam